UACCUGGUUGAUCCUGCCAGUAGUCAUAUGCUUGUCUCAAAGAUUAAGCCAUGCAUGUCUAAGUAUAAACAAGUUUGUACUGUGAAACUAGCGAAUGGCUCAUUAAAUACAGUUAUAGUUUAUUUGUAUGGUACCUUGCUACAUGGAUAACUGUGGUAAUUCUAGAGCUAAUACAUGCAAUCAAGCCCCGACUUCCGGAAGGGGUGGUUAUUUAUUAGAUAAAAAACCAAACGCGGUUCGCCGCUCCUUCGGUGAUUCUAUAAUAACUUCUCGAAUCGCAUGGCCUUGUGCCGGCGAUGCUUCAUUCAAAUAUCUGCCCUAUCAACUUUCGUAUGGUAGGGAGUAGAGGCCGUACCCAACUGGGUUUUCGUAACGGGUAAACGGGGGAAGUAAAGGGGUUACGUAGUUUCCGGAGAGGGGAGGCCGUCGAGAAACGGGACCGUUAACCCGACCAACUCCCAAGGAAGGGACGAGCAGGCGCGCAAUUACCAAUCCCGACACCGGGGAGGUAGGUGACAAUAAAUAACAAUAUGGGGCGUCUUUCGGGUCUCAUAAUUGGAAUGAGUACAAUUUAAACCUCUUAACGAGGAACAAUUGGAGGGCAAGUCUGGUGCCAGCAGCCGCGGUAAUUCCAGCUCCAAUAGCGUAUAUUAAAGUUGUUGCAGUUAAAAAGCUCGUAGUUGAACUUCAGACCUGGCCGGGCGGUCCGCCUUACGGUGUGUACUGUCUGGCUGGGUCUUACCUCUUGGUGAGCCGGCAUGCCCUUUACUGGGUGUGCCGGGGAACCAGGACCUUUACCUUGAGAAAAUUAGAGUGUUCAAAGCAGGCAUAUGCCCGAAUACAUUAGCAUGGAAUAAUAAAAUAGGACGUGCGGUUCUAUUUUGUUGGUUUCUAGAGUCGCCGUAAUGAUUAAUAGGGAUAGUUGGGGGCAUUAGUAUUCAGUUGCUAGAGGUGAAAUUCUUGGAUUUACUGAAGACUAACUACUGCGAAAGCAUUUGCCAAGGAUGUUUUCAUUAAUCAAGAACGAAGGUUAGGGGAUCGAAAACGAUCAGAUACCGUUGUAGUCUUAACAGUAAACUAUGCCA
RNAcentral lists this non-coding RNA (1085 nucleotides) under Trametes cinnabarina. Its description in RNAcentral is "Pycnoporus cinnabarinus Eukaryotic small subunit ribosomal RNA". It matches the Rfam family "Eukaryotic small subunit ribosomal RNA", at positions 1 to 1044 of the family's 1831-position model. The record is from Rfam by way of RNAcentral. Lineage: Eukaryota; Fungi; Basidiomycota; Agaricomycetes; Polyporales; Polyporaceae.